AAAGCAUGGUGAGAGAAUUUCCUAAGCAUCUCCUUAAAACGCUCCCAACUUUCAUAAAUUAAUUUUCAUUCAAACUGGGCAAAAUGAGUGAUAUCAUUUCUAAGUUU
Small nucleolar RNA from Dendrobium catenatum, 107 nucleotides. The record is from RefSeq and is a predicted model, not a curated record. Lineage: Eukaryota; Viridiplantae; Streptophyta; Magnoliopsida; Asparagales; Orchidaceae.